RNAcentral lists this ribosomal RNA (56 nucleotides) under Aspergillus tubingensis. RNAcentral's name for it is "partial 28S ribosomal RNA". The record is from RNAcentral. Lineage: Eukaryota; Fungi; Ascomycota; Eurotiomycetes; Eurotiales; Aspergillaceae.
ACCUCGGAUCAGGUAGGGAUACCCGCUGAACUUAAGCAUAUCAAUAAGCGGAGAAA